Molecule: transfer RNA, 73 nt
Filed under: Oltmannsiellopsis viridis
Lineage: Eukaryota; Viridiplantae; Chlorophyta; Ulvophyceae; Oltmannsiellopsidales; Oltmannsiellopsidaceae
Description: tRNA-Asp
Rfam family: tRNA
About the family: Transfer RNA (tRNA) molecules are approximately 80 nucleotides in length. Their secondary structure includes four short double-helical elements and three loops (D, anti-codon, and T loops). Further hydrogen bonds mediate the characteristic L-shaped molecular structure. tRNAs have two regions of fundamental functional importance: the anti-codon, which is responsible for specific mRNA codon recognition, and the 3' end, to which the tRNAs corresponding amino acid is attached (by aminoacyl-tRNA synthetases). tRNAs cope with the degeneracy of the genetic code in two manners: having more than one tRNA (with a specific anti-codon) for a particular amino acid; and 'wobble' base-pairing, i.e. permitting non-standard base-pairing at the 3rd anti-codon position.
Source: RNAcentral
GAGGAUGUAGCUUAGUAGGUAAAGCGUUCGCCUGUCACGCGAAAGAUCGCGAGUUCAACCCUCGUCUUCCUCG